GUCUCUGUUUAUUGACAACAUAGAUGAUAUGGUGUCUCCCCCGGAGGAGCUGCUUCAACAUCUUUCCCCUCUCCACAAUUUGAAGUGCUCUGGUUUGGCAACAUCACCACACUGGAUAGGCAGCCUCACCUCACUUGCUGAAUUAGAGAUCAGUGAUUGCCCAGACUUGACAUGCUUAGAACUGCCGUCAUCUCCGUGUCUUUCUAGUUUAAAGGUCAGUGAUUGCCCAAACUUGACAUGCUUAAAACUGUAGCCAUAUCCUUGUCUUUCUAGUUUAAAGAUUGGAAAGUGCCCAAAGUUAGCAUCCUUCGAAGUGGCUUCAUUACCUUGUCUUGAGAAACUAAGCCUGGGUGGACUUGGAGCAAAGUUACCGUCAAAGUUAGUCUCCGUCUUUGCUUCUUCUUCAUUGAAGUCUCUGUAUAUGAUAUCUAUCCCGGAGGAUCUGCUUCAACAUCUUUCCACUCUCUAAACUCUCUACAUUUUGAAAUGCUCUCGUUUGGCAACGUUACCACACUCGAUAGGCAGCCUCAUCUCACUUACAGAGCUUGGAGUUCAUGAAUGCCGUCAAUUGAAAUCACUACCAGAAGAGAUGCGUUCCCUUAAAAACCUGCAGAAAUUCUAUAUCUGGGAUUGUCAACAUCUAGAGAAAAUAUGCCGACAGAAAACAGGGGAAGACUGGCCCAGGAUUGCUCAUAUCCCACAUAUUGAUUUCUACACUGAUCAACGAAUAACAAGGGAGCUCCGAAAUCCCUAACCUUUCUUCUCAUUUUUAUUAUUUUUUCGAUCAAAAUGCAAGGUUUUCUCAUUCUGUCUUGGUAAUUCUUUUAUAUUGGCACUUCAUAUGUUUGUUGAAAUGCUCACAUCAGUAAAUCGAUUUUUUUUUCCAGACCAUAUAUACAGUCGAUGAUGAUAUGCACGAAACUCAUCAUUUUACUUGGAGUUGAGGUGAGAUUUGAUAUGAUAUCUCUCCCAGAGGAGCCGAUUCAACAUGUUUCCAUGAUCUAAAGUCUCAACAUUAGACAUCGCUCUGUUUUUGCAACAUUACAACACUGGAUAGGCAGCCUCCCGUCAGGUACAGAACUUGGAAUUCAUGGCUGCCAGAAGGUGCUAUGAUGUCUCCCAGAGGAGCUGCCUCAACAUGUUUCCAGGAUCCAAACUCUCAAAAUUGAAUACUGCACUGGUUUUGCAAUAUUCCUGCCCUGGAUUGGUCGCUUCACCUCACUUAUGGACCUUCAUAUUUGUGACUGCGCUGAAUUGGCAUCACUUUCGGAAGAGAUGCAUUCCCUCAAAAACCUUCUGACACUAAAAAAUCUUUCAUUGUCAGCACCUGCUUGAAGAUGCCAAAAAGAAACAUUUCAGGUUCAAGAACACAGAGAGCUAUACUUGGUGGAGAUUUCAUCAAUAUAGAGAGACAUUUUAGAUUUCAACUUGCUUAAGACGCUUGUGAUUAUUUCUUCUUGGCUCAACCUGAAAUCAUUGCCUACGUUCUUCCAUUUGCUACCUCAAAAUCACCUACCAAAAGUUUUGGAUUGCCUAAAAAUUUUCUCAUGGCCCAUAAAUUCGUAUAUAUCAGAUGGCUAUAUAUUUCAGGUCCUGCUUUCCUUAGAAAUCAGGUCUACUCUCUGCCAUAUAUUUCAGGCUGAUGUCUCUAUAUUUGGAAAUUCAGAGAGUUGCAAAUUCCAAGGACUUACAAGAUUGAGUCGCUGUCUCUACCAUUAGGGCUUCAACAAGUUACCAUUCUUGAAAUUCUAAAAAACAUCAGAUUGCCUCAUCUUUGAAUCGAAAUCACUCCCAGAAGGAUGUGCUUCCCAACACUCUCAUGGGCUCUUUGACUUUGCCAUCUACAAUAUAUCAGAGUGAGUUCAGAAGACGAGAUUUGAAGGACGGUGUUAGUGGGUUUUGGUGGGAAUGUAGAUUUGGUGGACCUAAUGCUACUGCUGUCUGGUUUUAAGAAAAGAGGGUUGCAGUGACGACUGACGAGAAUGAGGUAAUUUUGGGUGGUGAAUGGAGAAAGAGACGAAUUUGAGGUUGAGGGUUUGAUGAAGGAAGCUAUGUUGUGUGUAAGUGUUGCCAAGUCAAAGCAAUGCCAGAUAGUGAUGUAGUUGUGACACCUUACUUCUCUAAAGCAACUCGAAAGUGGGGAUUGUUGCCUACCACAUCUCAUUUCGGGAAAGUUGUGUUUAUAGGCUAUGAUAUGGGAAAUAUAUGGUUUUGGAAACCCAUAUAAGUGAAAUAUGAGAUAUGCCUGUAAUAAGAAAAAUAUUAUAGGUUUCAUACACUAUUUACUGUUCAAAUUUUUAUUUUCGAAAUUACCCUUUA
Vitis vinifera (wine grape) is the source of this 2319-nucleotide long non-coding RNA. RefSeq lists it as uncharacterized. The transcript is spliced from 6 exons. NCBI's taxonomy places the organism in Eukaryota, Viridiplantae, Streptophyta, Magnoliopsida, Vitales, Vitaceae. The record is from RefSeq and is a predicted model, not a curated record.